RNAcentral lists this ribosomal RNA (448 nucleotides) under uncultured bacterium. RNAcentral's name for it is "bacterial SSU rRNA". It matches the Rfam family "Bacterial small subunit ribosomal RNA", at positions 29 to 521 of the family's 1533-position model. The record is from RNAcentral.
AGUGAACGCUGGCGGUGCGCCUAAGACAUGCAAGUCGAGUGGGUUUAGACCCACGGCGAACGGCUGCGUAACACAUGGGUACCUACCCCGAACUCAGGAAUAACCUCCCGAAAGGGAGGCUAAUGCCGGAUAGUCCCGCAAGGGUAAAGCUUUUGCGGUUCGGGAGGGGCCUGUGGCCUAUCAGUUAGUUGGUGAGGUAACGGCUCACCAAGACAAUGACGGGUAGCUGGUCUGAGAGGACGACCAGCCAGAAUGGAACUGAGACACGGUCCAUACUCCUACGGGAGGCAGCAGUUAGGAAUCUUCCACAAUGGGCGAAAGCCUGAUGGAGCGACACCGCGUGAAGGAUGAAGCCUUUAACUAGGUGUAAACUUCUGUUAUGAGGGACGGAAUUUUUGACGGUACCUCAUGAGAAAGCACCGGCUAAUUCUGUGCCAGCAGCCGCGGU